UACGUAGGGCGCGAGCGUUGUCCGGAAUUAUUGGGCGUAAAGGGCUCGUAGGCGGUCUGUCACGUCGGGAGUGAAAACUCAGGGCUUAACCCUGAGCCUGCUUCCGAUACGGGCAGACUAGAGGUAUGCAGGGGAGAACGGAAUUCCUGGUGUAGCGGUGAAAUGCGCAGAUAUCAGGAGGAACACCGGUGGCGAAGGCGGUUCUCUGGGCAUUACCUGACGCUGAGGAGCGAAAGUGUGGGGAGCGAACAGG
Molecule: ribosomal RNA, 253 nt
Filed under: uncultured bacterium
Lineage: Bacteria
Description: partial 16S ribosomal RNA
Rfam family: Bacterial small subunit ribosomal RNA
Source: RNAcentral